Molecule: non-coding RNA, 3930 nt
Filed under: Fusarium poae
Lineage: Eukaryota; Fungi; Ascomycota; Sordariomycetes; Hypocreales; Nectriaceae
Description: Bacterial large subunit ribosomal RNA
Rfam family: Bacterial large subunit ribosomal RNA (bases 1799-3930)
Source: Rfam by way of RNAcentral
AAAUAGGCUUGCUAGCUGAUUGUAUAUAUAUGCUGGCCGUAUUUCAUAGCAAGCUCGCUUUUAAUAGGCAACCAGUAAUAUGAGCAAUUCUUUACCUACAAGCCUAUAAUUAUAUUAACUCUAAGAGAAAUCUAAUAAUAAACGGAGUGAAUUGAAAUAUCUUAUUAACUUCAGGAAAAGAAAUCAAAAGAGAUUCUAUGAUUAGCGUGAGCUAAAAUAGAGUAGCCUAGAAAGUCAAAUGGUGGAUAAACUGUUUAAAUUUAAUGGGGAACCUUCCUCAAAGGCUAAAUAUAAUAUGUAAGCGAUAGUGGAAAGUACCGUGAGGGAACCAAAACAAAAACAGUAAUUUUAUAAGCAGUUCGGAAAAAUAAAAAAGUUAGAACGUACCUUUUGCAUAAUGGGUCACCAAGUUAACAUUAGAUGCGAGAUUCUACGUAGUUAAACCGAGCGUUAAAAUAACGGUAAGUGUCUAAAGUUAGACCCGAAGCCUGGUGAUUUUACCAUAAUCAGGAUUAUAAAAGUCCGAACGGAAUAUUGUAGCAUAAAUAUCCGAAGAAUUAUGGUAGGUGUAGUGAAAGACAAUACUGACCAGGAUAGCUGGUUAAAAAUAUAGGUGUAAGCAACCUCUAAGAGCCAGUAUGUAGAAGUGAACCUUCUGCAAUAAACCUUCAAAUUGACGGGGAAGCCCUAAAGCAAUCUAAACCAAGUAAGCAUGGCAACAUAGCUUAUGGCACAGGUAAUGACUCGUGGUAUGGUAAAAUAUAGAUUGAUUUACGAUAGUAAGUAAAAUGGGUUAUCCGCAGCCAAGCACCUUAUGGGUGUGCAGUUCAUCGACUAAAUGUGGGUUGGCGCAAGCUUAAGAUAUAGUCAGACCUUAUCCGAAAGGAUACAGAAUAAUAAAUACUAAUAACAAAAUUAAGUAGACGGGCGCAAGCUCUUGCUACUAAAAGGAACAGAAUCUGUUACCUUUCUAAUAUAGGCUAAGAGGAAAAAUAAAAAAAAACCAAGAUAUGAAAAAAACAUUAAAUAAUAUAAUAACAAACUCUAAUGCAACACUACCUAAUCAUUAUGUAGAUUGUGACUUAGAGAAAAUGAAUAGUCCUUCGGGAGCGAAGCUUACAGCAAGCUCUUAAAUGAAAAUAAAGAUAAAGGUGGAGUUUACUGUUGAAUAAAUAAUAUUAAUAGUAAAUUUUAUGUAGGUAGUUCUACUGAUUUAAGAACUAGAUUUUAUAAAUAUUAUAGUAUUAAAAACUUAAAUGAAAAAAGAACACCUAUACAUAAUGCCUUGUUAAAAUAUGGAUAUAGUAAUUUUUCAUUGGUAAUAUUAGAAUAUACAGGUGAAAAUGAAUAGUCCUUCGGGAGCGAAGCUUACAGCAAGCUCCCCAUAAAUAAAGAACAACUUUAUUUAGACUUGUUAAAACCUGAAUAUAAUAUAUUAGGUACAGCAGGUUCUAGUUUAGGAUUUAAACAUUCAGAACAAACUCUAAAGUAUUUUAGAGAAAAUCGAAUAGUUUCAGAUGAAACUCGUAAUAAUUUAAGUAUAGCCGCUAGAGAAAGAAUAUUACCUCAAGAGGUUCGAGAUAAAAUAUCCGAAAAUCGUAAAGGUAUAAAGCUUUCGGAUAAUACGCGUGCAAAGAUUUCAGAGUCAGCUAUACUUUUAAGAGGUGUAAAAGUAAACGUAACUAACGUCGAAACUAAUGAGGUAUUAUCUUUUGAUAAUUUAACCUCUGCUGCUAAACACAUAGGUGUUAGCAGACCGGCCGUAGCCAAGGCUUUAAAAACUGGUAGUCUAAUCAAAGGCGCAUUUAAAAUCAACGAAUAGUUGAUUAAUUAGUAUUUAUUAUUUGUUAAAUGGACGAUUAAGUAUUUAUAGGUUACUUAAUUGUUUAGGGAGAAGGACUUCAGCUUUAUCUGGCGUAAGCCAGAUAGAAGAAGUAGAUUCGUUUCUGCGAAACCUAUAACAGUAGGCAAUUUAAGUAUAAUAUCUUAGCAGGUACAGAAUUUAAUCUCAGACAAGACAUAAGGCUUAGCUUGUUAGCAAGUUAAGCCCAUGUUUUAUUUUGUACAAAUUGGGGGAUCAUGAAGAUUUUAUCAGUGAGUAUGUAGACUCGGAAUGGCAAAGAUAUAUCUUAAAUCAUCAGACAUAGAAUGAUAAGGUUGUAUGUCAAAAGGGAAACAGCCCAGAACAAGAGUUAAGGUUCCUAAAUUAUUAGUUGAGUGAAAUUAAGAAGGUUUUUAUUAAAGUCGACAAGGAGAUAGGCUUAGAAGCAGCCAUAAUUUUAUGACCUCGUAACAGAGCGCUUGUUAAGUUUUAAAAGCAUCGAAAAUUUAUCGGAUCUAAACAAUAUACCGAAACCUUGUCCAUAUUAUUUUAUAAUUAAAGAUCUUUAAUUAUAAUUAAAUGGGGUAGCAGAACGUUGAGCUAAAUUAAGAUUUUUAUUUUUUAAAUGAAAUUAUAAUAAUUUAACUCAAGUGAUAAUGGUGACAUGAGUAACUAAAAGAAAAUUUUCCGCCUAAAGCUUAUGGAUGUAAUUAAGUAACGGCCUCUAAGUUUAUGGAAUCAAAAGAUUAAAACGAUGAGACAAUCUUUCAUACUAAGGACGACAUUUUAAGUGAAAAAUGUACUGGAAAAAUAGUAAUAAGUUUAAGCUAUAGCUAGAACUAGCUAUAGCUGUAAAUGGAAAGUAACCGUACCUAGAAUCUGAAACAAGUAAGCUAGUAGAGAAUACGAAGGCGUAAAUGAGCUAACAAUCAUAAAGGAACUCGGCAAAUUGACUACCGUAACUUCGGGAUAAGGAGAGCUCAUUAUUCUUGAUUAAUAUCAGGUAAAGAGGAAGAAGCAUGAAAUAGUGUUGUACGACUGUUUAAUUAAAACACAGCACUUUGCUGAAAGAUUAAAAAUCUAAGUAUAGAGUGUGAUGUCUGCCCGGUGCCGGCUGGUUAACAGAUAUAAUUAAAUAUACUAAUAUUUGAUGUAGACGGAAACCCCGGUUAAAGGCGGCCUUAACGUGAGGGUCCUAAGGUAGCGAAAUGCCUUGGCCGUUAAAUGCGGUCUUGCAUGAAUGAUGUAACGAUACAACAGCUGUCUCUAUGAUUGACUCAGUGAAAUUGGAAUAGCUGUGCAGAUACAGUUUACCUCUAGUUAGACGAGAAGACCCUAUGCAGCUUUACUGUCACUAAUUAUAGAGUAUGAUAAACAAUUUUCAGUUUAUAAGGUAAUUGACGGCCGGCUUGCUUAGCAAGCUGGCUCUAUGACAAUGAGAAUCCUUUAUUUUUUUUUCAUAUGAAUGAAUUGGUUUAGGACGAGCUUAAGCUCGUAGUAAAUCAACCUAAUUCAGCUUAUUUUCCUUUCUGCUGUAAGCGCAUAAAGAUAGAUUAUACUUAAAUUUGGAUUUAUGCCUGCAGAAAUAGAUAAGUACCCUUGGUUAAGGAACUAUCGCUAGGGGACAGUUUAUGUGGGGCACAGACCCUGUAAAGAGUAAACAGGAGUGUCUAAUAAUUUAUAAUUAUUUUGUUUGCGAUUUAAGGUAGUAGAACUAUUUUUAAUCAUAUAAAAUUAUUUAUAUGUACAUUCGUUGUAUAUAUAUUUAAAAAAAGGUAGGAUUUUCACUAUAUAGAAAUUAGAGAUAAUAAAAAUAUUAAGUAGUAGCUGCGGCUAGACUUCGUCUAGCAAGCUCGCACUAAUAUUUUUUAACUAUUAAGACUGGCUAUCUAGCUAUGCUCUAAUAGUUAUGUUUUAAUUAUCUAAAAAGCUCAACGGCUAAAUCUUGCCUUACUGUUUGAUUAUCAACAAAUCUUACAGUUGCGUAAGCAGGGCAUAGGAUCACAAGAUGCAACAAGGAAAGAUCUUGGAUUAUUGGAAAAGCUACGCUAGGGAUGUUUGUCCUUUAAUAUUUUAUUUCUCGGUGGUAUAGGUCUAGGCAUAUUUUU